GAGGGUAUACCUCAGUGGUAGAGCACAUGCUUAGCAUGCACGAAGUCCUGGGUUCAAUCCCCAGUACCUCUU
Camelus ferus (Wild Bactrian camel) is the source of this 72-nucleotide transfer RNA. It matches the Rfam family "tRNA". From Rfam's summary of the family: Transfer RNA (tRNA) molecules are approximately 80 nucleotides in length. Their secondary structure includes four short double-helical elements and three loops (D, anti-codon, and T loops). The record is from Rfam. Lineage: Eukaryota; Metazoa; Chordata; Mammalia; Artiodactyla; Camelidae.